RNAcentral lists this small nucleolar RNA (103 nucleotides) under Cephalotus follicularis. Its description in RNAcentral is "Plant small nucleolar RNA R71". It matches the Rfam family "Plant small nucleolar RNA R71". Rfam says of the family: R71 is a member of the C/D box family of snoRNAs containing the C (UGAUGA) and D (CUGA) box motifs. Lineage: Eukaryota; Viridiplantae; Streptophyta; Magnoliopsida; Oxalidales; Cephalotaceae. The record is from Rfam by way of RNAcentral.
ACGGCGUGAUGGGGACAUUUUUGGAUAAGGUCCUUUAAUCUUUCUCAUGCCUCAUGGAACUGUUCACCAUCUUGUUGUGAGAAGCUAGUGAGAGCUCGACUUA